GCCGCUAGGGGGGCGGCCUGGGCCGGGCAGGCGCACGGCUCUGAGCCCAGCGCAGCCAAGCCGGUCCGCAGAGGGGCCCCAGAACUUUGUGUGUGUGUGUUCGUGUGUGUGUGUGUGUGUGUGUGUGUGCGCGCGUGUGUCUGUGCGCGCGCGCCCGUGUGUGUGUGCGAGGGUGCGCGCGUGCUGGCCCGGGGGGGAACCGACCCUAAGGAGAGCCCCCGGCUGGCAAAGUGGUUCGCCCAUCUCGCAGCGGGUUGGCGCUCACGGAGGUAGGAGUGAAAUGAAUGAAGGAAGGAGUGGGAGCGCGCCGUGCUCCCAGGGAGGGCGGGUGAGUGGAGGAGCUUCGGAAAGCCACACGAGGUCAGAGGCACCAAGACCUGCCGUGCACGUCGCGGAAACGCAGCCCCCGGGGUGGUCGCCGGCUUCCUGCCGGAAUGUGGCUUCCAAGCCACCCUGAUCUUCGCCUCCUCGCGUCUACACUGUCCCGAGCCCCCGCCCCCCGCCCCCCAUCACUUGAAUGGGAGCUCACAACUGUCUGGGUCCUCGCUUUUCUCAGCGCUCUCUCCGAUCAGGGCUUCCGCUAAACAUUCUCCAAACUCUCCCCGGCUCAGAGCCUCUCCAGGUUUGCCUCUCCAGCUGUCUCCCGUAUGCUUGGAUAGGAUGCCCUUCCAUCCCCUCCAACUUAGGAAGACUUGUUGAGUCUCCUCUUAGGGACUGUUUUUAAAACCGUGGGUCGUGACACAUUAAUAGAUCAUAAAAUAAAUGCAGCGGAUGGCAACGGGCUUUAAAAAAGAAUGAAAUGGAAUCCAAUAGAAAAUAUUAGAAUCCACUGCCCUUAGUAAGGGAAACUAUUGUUUCAUAAACCUUUUGUUUCAAUUAUAGGUACUGGACAAGUGUACUGGACCAUGAUGUCAAUUUUAUUUCCGACUGUGGAUCGUGGGUUUAACAAAGUUGAGAAGCUAUCUUUUUAAGGUGUAAAAUAAUGAUCUCUAACACUGUAUGACUUUCUUGAAUACAACCCAAUGAUUUUCUCACUACUUCUUAUCCUUUCCGUUCUCCAUCCUCCAUUCCCCCUCCCCAAAAGGCAAGCUCUUUCACACUUUGUUAGUGGCACAUCACAGCCCCUUCCUGUGUGAUCUUGGACUCUGCCGUCUUCCUUGCCCCCACAAUCAAUGCUACACUUCCUACCACUUCUCUCAACCUAAUGCCAUUCACAUUUGCAGAAUCCCAGGCUACUGUUGCUAAAAGGGACCUCAGAGGUCAUCUGGGCCAGCCCUGCCCUUUGAGAGUUGAAGAAAUGAAGUCCAAGGAAGUAAAAUCUAUCGCCCAAUGUCACACAGUAUUGAAGCUUAGAAAUAGGAGACAUUUGCUGCCUGGACUGCCUGGCUGAUUUGAGCUAGUUUGUCUGCUAGCCAGUUUGAGUUGGAUGUUUAAAUAGGAGGCAGAAUAACAACAGGGUAUCGUGAUCUGUUGCCCAGGCUGGAAUGUAGUUGCAA
Molecule: long non-coding RNA, 1496 nt
Organism: Sapajus apella (tufted capuchin)
Lineage: Eukaryota; Metazoa; Chordata; Mammalia; Primates; Cebidae
Exons: 3
Source: RefSeq, a predicted model, not a curated record